AAGGCUUUAGCUUAAUUAAAGUGCCUGAUUUGCAUUCAGGGGAUAUAGGUUAAUGUCCUAUAAGUCUUA
This 69-nucleotide transfer RNA is filed under the name Dendrocygna javanica (lesser whistling duck). Its description in RNAcentral is "tRNA-Ala". It matches the Rfam family "tRNA". From Rfam's summary of the family: Transfer RNA (tRNA) molecules are approximately 80 nucleotides in length. Their secondary structure includes four short double-helical elements and three loops (D, anti-codon, and T loops). Further hydrogen bonds mediate the characteristic L-shaped molecular structure. tRNAs have two regions of fundamental functional importance: the anti-codon, which is responsible for specific mRNA codon recognition, and the 3' end, to which the tRNAs corresponding amino acid is attached (by aminoacyl-tRNA synthetases). tRNAs cope with the degeneracy of the genetic code in two manners: having more than one tRNA (with a specific anti-codon) for a particular amino acid; and 'wobble' base-pairing, i.e. permitting non-standard base-pairing at the 3rd anti-codon position. Lineage: Eukaryota; Metazoa; Chordata; Aves; Anseriformes; Anatidae. The record is from RNAcentral.